This 274-nucleotide ribosomal RNA is filed under the name uncultured bacterium. RNAcentral's name for it is "partial 16S ribosomal RNA". It matches the Rfam family "Bacterial small subunit ribosomal RNA", at positions 523 to 796 of the family's 1533-position model. The record is from RNAcentral.
AUACGUGAGGGGUAAGCGUUAUCCGGAAUUACUGGGCUUAAAGGGCGCGUAGGCGGCUUUGUAAGUCAUCUGUGAAAUCCCGGGGCUCAACUCCGGGGCUGCAGGUGAUACUGCAGAGCUAGAGCUCGGUAGAGGCAAGUGGAAUUCCCGGUGUAGCGGUGGAAUGCGUAGAUAUCGGGAAGAACACCAGUGGCGAAGGCGGCUUGCUGGGCCGAUGCUGACGCUGAGGUGCGAAAGCGUGGGGAGCAAACAGGAUUAGAAACCCCGGUAGUCC